This 1306-nucleotide ribosomal RNA is filed under the name Psychomyia kalais. Its description in RNAcentral is "16S ribosomal RNA". Lineage: Eukaryota; Metazoa; Arthropoda; Insecta; Trichoptera; Psychomyiidae. The record is from RNAcentral.
UUUUAAUAAAAUCUUAAUAAUAUUAUUAUUUUUUUUAUUUUAUAUAAAUAAAUUAAUUUUAUAUUUAAUAGUUUAAUUAUUUAUUUAAAAAAAAUUUUUAAUUUUAUAUAAAUUAUUAUUGAAAAAAAAAGAUUAAAUAAUUUUAAUUAAAUAUUUAUAUAUUUAAUAAGAAAAUUUAAUUUAUUGUAUCUUGGGUAUCAGAGUUUAUUAAUUAAAUAUUAUUUAUUUAUUUUUCUCGAAAUUUAUUUAUUUAUUAAUUAAUUUAAUUUAAUAUAUAAAAAUUAUAAUAUAUUAGUUAAUAGAAUCUAAAAGUUAUUCGGUUUAAAUUAUAUCUAGUUUAUAUAGAAAAAAAUUAAAUUUUUUUAAUAUAUUAUUAAUUUAUUUUUUAUAUAUAAAUAAAUUAUUAUUAUUAUUAAAAAUAUUAUAAGGGAUAAGCUUUAUAAUAAAUUUUUAUAUUAAUUUUAUUUUAAUAAAAUUUAUAUGAUUAAUAUUUUUUAAUUAAUGUAUUUUUUUAUAAAUAUUUUUAUUUUGAUAAAAUAUUUUUUUUUAAUUAUUUUAUUUAUAUAUAAAAAAUAUAAUAAUUUUUAUUUUGUUAUAAUGAUUAAAUGAGUAUAUUUAUUUUAUAUUAAAAUAUAUUUAAAUUAUUUUUUAUAAUAUUAAUGAAUUCGACAAAUUAAGUAUUCAACUGUUUAACAAAAACAUUUCUUUAAGUUAGUAAAUUUUAAGUAUAAUCUGCCCACUGAAUUAUUUUAAAGGGCUGCAGUAUAUUAACUGUGCAAAGGUAGCAUAAUCAAUAGUUUUUUAAUUGGAAACUUGUAUGAAUGAUUAAAUGAAAUAUUAAUUUUAUAUAUAUAUUAAUUAUAAAAAUUUAUUUUUUAUUGAAAAAGAUAAAAUAUUUAUAAAAGACAAGAAGACCCUAUAGAUUUUUAUAUAUAAAUUUAUUUAAUUUAUUUAUAUAUUAAAUUGGGGUGAUUAUAAAAUUUAUUAAACUUUUAUUUUAAUUACAUUAAUUUAUGAAUUUUAGAUCUUUUUUUGAAAAUAUGUAGAUUAAAUUACCUUAGGGAUAACAGCAUAAUUUUAAUUUAAAGUUCUUAUUUAAAUUAAAGAUUGUGACCUCGAUGUUGGAUUAAGAUUUAAAAUUAGGUGAAAAUUUUUAGUUUUUUAGUCUGUUCGACUAAUAAUUUCUUACAUGAUCUGAGUUCAAACCGGUGUAAACCAGGUUGGUUUCUAUCUUUAUUUAGGAUUUAUUUUUAGUACGAAAGGAAUUAAAUUGAUAAUAUUUUUAUUUUUUUUUUGAAUAUUAUUA